UACAGAUUGCUGUCAACGCCAUGGAAAUAGGUUCAACCUCAAAGAAUAUUAAAAAUGCACAAGGCUUUCGAUACGGACCAUUCCUACGAUGAUGCCAUACAGAGAAAAGGGAAGACACAGAGCUGUGUGUGCGGUGCGCCGCCGCGGUGUCAAGGGUGGCGUUUGUCGGGAUGCAAACUCUGGGUGCCGUGGGUGCUGUCCGGCGGGGAACAGGGGCAAUGAAAGCUUAUGAAAAAUGCUUGUAAGCAGAAAAAAGGAAAACCGUAUUUCUGCUUAUUCAGGCCUGAUCUUCACCGUCUUUAGAACGACUAGAAGGUAGACUUCCCCCGGAUAAUGAGAAGUAAUAAAAAUCAG
Long non-coding RNA from Phyllostomus hastatus (greater spear-nosed bat), 354 nucleotides. RefSeq lists it as uncharacterized. The record is from RefSeq and is a predicted model, not a curated record. Lineage: Eukaryota; Metazoa; Chordata; Mammalia; Chiroptera; Phyllostomidae. The transcript has 3 exons.